RNAcentral lists this long non-coding RNA (553 nucleotides) under Ananas comosus (pineapple). RNAcentral describes it as "long non-coding RNA (ACOM_LNC041397)". The record is from RNAcentral. Lineage: Eukaryota; Viridiplantae; Streptophyta; Magnoliopsida; Poales; Bromeliaceae.
CCAUAAUAGUUUUGUUUUGCCACGUGAUACAUAGAUCUCUAAAAGUAAUUUUCGAAUUGAGAUUGUACGUUGAAAUCGAACAUCUGAGUGAAAAGUUAUGGUCAUUUAAACAUAUUUUUUAUGUCGAUUGCAAAAUUACGAAUUCAACGGAUUUUAGCUCAGUCCGGUUGAGCUGAGGUUUUUCAAAAGCUUUAAUGCUAAAUUGGCUGCAUCACUUGACUACUCACCCCUCCUCUAAAGUGAAAUAUAAGAAUUUCUCGCUUUUAAUAAUAAUUUCACCAUUUUUUAUAUAAACAAAAUAUAAAAAGAUUUGCUAAUAUACCUUCCAAUUGUAGGCAACCUAAUAAAAUUGUAUGACACUCUAAUAAUCUCAUAUCGGAUAGUUAUGACUAAAUAUUACGCUAUUUAAGUUUGAUUAGGCUAUACAUAAUAAUUCGGCUCAAGUAUAUUGGGCAAGUGGUUUGGGCCGAACGAGUUAUUAUUGCCGACUAGUCAGGUCGUUGUAUUUGAUAUCAAAGUCAGUUCACUAUCCUAGUAGUGUUUUGCCCUCAAC